UGCUAGGGACGCAGCAGUGGGGAAUAUUGCACAAUGGGGGAAACCCUGAUGCAGCGACGCCGCGUGAGUGAAGAAGUAUUUCGGUAUGUAAAGCUCUAUCAGCAGGGAAGAAAAUGACGGUACCUGACUAAGAAGCCCCGGCUAACUACGUGCCAGCAGCCGCGGUAAUACGUAGGGGGCAAGCGUUAUCCGGAUUUACUGGGUGUAAAGGGAGCGUAGACGGCGCUGAAAGUCCGGAGUGAAAGCCCAUGGCUUAACCAUGGUACUGCUCUGGAAACUGUGGAGCUUGAGUGCGGGAGGGGCAG
Molecule: ribosomal RNA, 305 nt
Filed under: uncultured bacterium
Lineage: Bacteria
Description: bacterial SSU rRNA
Rfam family: Bacterial small subunit ribosomal RNA
Source: RNAcentral